AUUGAACGCUGGCGGCAGGCCUAACACAUGCAAGUCGAGCGGGGUGAUGGUGCUUGCACUAUCACUUAGCGGCGGACGGGUGAGUAAUGCUUAGGAAUCUGCCUAUUAGUGGGGGACAACAUCUCGAAAGGGAUGCUAAUACCGCAUACGUCCUACGGGAGAAAGCAGGGGAUCACUUGUGACCUUGCGCUAAUAGAUGAGCCUAAGUCGGAUUAGCUAGUUGGUGGGGUAAGGCCUACCAAGGCGACGAUCUGUAGCGGGUCUGAGAGGAUGAUCCGCCACACUGGGACUGGGACAAGGCCCAGACUCCUACGGGAGGCAGCAGUGGGGAAUAUUGGACAAUGGGGGGAACCCUGAUCCAGCCAUGCCGCGUGUGUGAAGAAGGCCUUAUGGUUGUAAAGCACUUUAAGCGAGGAGGAGGCUCUUUUGGUUAAUACCCAAGAUGAGUGGACGUUACUCGCAGAAUAAGCACCGGCUAACUCUGUGCCAGCCGCCGCCGUAA
RNAcentral lists this ribosomal RNA (502 nucleotides) under uncultured bacterium. Its description in RNAcentral is "partial 16S ribosomal RNA". It matches the Rfam family "Bacterial small subunit ribosomal RNA", at positions 30 to 523 of the family's 1533-position model. The record is from RNAcentral.